RNAcentral lists this ribosomal RNA (253 nucleotides) under uncultured bacterium. RNAcentral describes it as "partial 16S ribosomal RNA". It matches the Rfam family "Bacterial small subunit ribosomal RNA", at positions 524 to 776 of the family's 1533-position model. The record is from RNAcentral.
UACGGAGGGUGCAAGCGUUGUUCGGAAUCACUGGGCGUAAAGGGCGCGUAGGCGGUUUGAUAAGUCAGAUGUGAAAGCCCACCGCCUAACUGUGGAAGUGCAUUUGAAACUGUCAGACUUGAGUAUCAGAGGGGAAAGUGGAAUUCCCGGUGUAGAGGUGAAAUUCGUAGAUAUCGGAAGGAAUACCGGUGGCGAAGGCGACUUUCUGGCUGAAUACUGACGCUGAGGCGCGAAAGCGUGGGGAGCAAACAGG